GAAAGGUGCAUGUAAGGCUGUGGACAAAAACAAAACUUCAGGAGAAAGGGAGUUCCAGUUCCAAUUCCAGAAUUAUAACACAUUCAUCUUAAUAAAUCAAAUAACUUGGAAUUAUGUCUAUGAUUUCAAUAUCUGAGAAGUUGAAUUCAGCUGAAAAAUUAGACAACCUUAAGAGCAUUAUAUAAUGUUAACUAUGAAGACCAUCACAAGUGCCCAGAGUCAAAAUUUCUAAACCCAAAAUAGCAUAUGCUGACCAAUCAGGACAAUGAUCAUCAAACCCAGACACUUCUUUAAAUGGCCAAAUGAAAUUCUGAGAAUGAUUUAAUGGAGAAAUGAAUGUAUCAGAGGACUAAAACUUGUCAUUUUUUUUUUUACAAAUUGAUGCUUGUUAAAGUUGAUAUCCAAUAAAAACUUUAACUGAUUUGCAUCUUAGGUGAAGUGAAGGAGAUUGAGAAAUAGAGUUAAACAAAAGUUGCAAUUUGUCUGACCACCAUUUAAACCUCAUAUGAUAUAAAAUCUUUCCAUUCUAUAGCAAUUACUAGAUCAAGUUGUGAACCUAAUAGAACAUACCUUACGUUUUUUGGUUGACUUAUU
This 594-nucleotide unclassified non-coding RNA is filed under the name Hevea brasiliensis (rubber tree). The record is from RNAcentral. Lineage: Eukaryota; Viridiplantae; Streptophyta; Magnoliopsida; Malpighiales; Euphorbiaceae.